This 85-nucleotide transfer RNA is filed under the name Thermothelomyces thermophilus ATCC 42464. RNAcentral describes it as "Myceliophthora thermophila ATCC 42464 tRNA". It matches the Rfam family "tRNA". From Rfam's summary of the family: Transfer RNA (tRNA) molecules are approximately 80 nucleotides in length. Their secondary structure includes four short double-helical elements and three loops (D, anti-codon, and T loops). Lineage: Eukaryota; Fungi; Ascomycota; Sordariomycetes; Sordariales; Chaetomiaceae. The record is from Rfam by way of RNAcentral.
UCUUCCGUAGUAUAGUGGUCAGUAUGUGAGCUUGUCACCCGGACCUGACUCGCUCGAGACCCGGGUUCAAUUCCCGGCGGGAGAG